UACGAAGGGGGGCUAGCGUUGUCCGGAUUUACUGGGCGUAAAGCGCACGUAGGCGGUUUGUUAAGUCAGGGGUGAAAUCCCGGAGCUCAACUCCGGAACUGCCCUUUGAUACUGGCAAGCUAGAGUCCGGAAGAGGUAAGUGGAACUCCUAGUGUAGAGGUGGAAUUCGUAGAAUAUUAGGAGAACACCAGUAGGCGAAGGCGGCCUU
Molecule: ribosomal RNA, 208 nt
Filed under: uncultured bacterium
Lineage: Bacteria
Description: partial 16S ribosomal RNA
Rfam family: Bacterial small subunit ribosomal RNA
Source: RNAcentral